GAUCCUCGCUUCGUUCGGGCUCACCGGGAGCCUGUUCGCAGGCCAGUCAAGCUUGCGCAGUUUAAGUAGCAAGGACUCGAGGUACGAGGAAAUACCUUCAGAAGGAUGGUGUUGCUUUUAUGAAGUUAUAUUUGGUAGUUUUGUUGUUGUUGUUGUUGUUGUUGUUAUUAUUGUUCUGUUUAAUCUCUGUUACUGUCGUCGUACUUUCAAACAGAAUCUUUACACCGUUUGUGAUCUGGCUCUGGGACUCCUCACAAACAAGGUACUGAUUAUUACACUUUGUACUGGCAAGUCAGUGUCCUUAUACCAUUUAAUUGACUGUCACGCAGUACUCUGUUCAAUGUUGUGGUCCGUUGCGUGACAAGCUAUGACAAAAAUUUGGUUCAUUCCUGUUGCUGUGGUAAUUCAUUGUGACAUUUUCACUUAUCUUUAACAUUUCAACUCCUGUAGGUCCAUAACUUCGUGUUAAAAGAAUUUCCAGGCAACCCUGUUUUACCUAAAAGGUUCUUUGUUCCUUCAGAGGUAGGUAGUCCUAACACCAAGAGUUAUCUGCCAAAGGGAUUUCAGUUUACCUCUUCAAAGGGACCAAGGAAAGGAGGAGCGGCAGAAUCGAAGUCAACACCUUCGAAGACUUCGUCAAGAACGUCUGCAAAGAGUGAUAAGAAAACUCAAGGAAAGACACAAAACAGGUAAGGGGAACUAGGAAACUGGUGUUAUUGUGGCAUUCAACUGGUACGAGCUGUUUCAUUCUUUCAGGACACCGGUAAACAAUGUUUGUUGAAAUAUCUCUCUUGCCAAGAGUAGACUUACAGUAUAAGAGGAAGUUGGUUUCUUCCUUGUGUACAAACUGAUAUUUGUUUUUGAUUAGAUUAAAAAUCUGCUGUAAUAUGGGCUAAUCAUUACACCAAAAUAGCCAAAAAUGCUGCUUCACUAGCCCACAUGCAAGACAAGUUGCUCUCUCAGAGUACUUGAUGACCUCUCCACCCAGGAUUAUAUAUGAUUGCCUUUGAAUUGUUUGAGCAAUCUGGCAAAUAGCCUCCUACCGUAUGCAGACGGUGUUUGGGAUCGUCACGUAAUCGUCCUCCCCAAUCUUCGUGUGGAGGGAACGCGUGACGAGCCCUAAGAGCGUCUGCUUGGGAGGCUACGUAGGGGGGUUACCUGGCAAAAUACUUGGAGUAAGAUGCAGUGGGCUGACAUCCCAUCCUGCAAGGGGGAGGGGUGUGUUAACAUUGCUGAUGUUUUAUGUUCCAAAAACUGGAAAUAAGCUGGGGCGAUAACCUAUUAAUUGUUAAGCCAUAGAGCUUUUAACAUCUUUAGUUACUACUACGAGUCUACAUACGGAAAUGUAAGUUGCUUGUGUUUAAGUUACGUGUGCGUAGCAAGGUCUUGCUAUGUUUCUUAGAAAAACUAGAUUUGUUGCUAUCGUUGUUCUUUUUUGGAAGCUCAAAAACUGCUAAGAAUGCUUUCAAGGACAAAGUAAAAGAAAUCCAAGCAGAAAUGGACGAAUCGUCCUCCGAGACUGCAGAAAGUGGGUUUGCUAGUCCGGCUGAUGAGCAGCCAUCUCCAAGAAAAAGAGGGAGACCCCCU
Molecule: long non-coding RNA, 1587 nt
Organism: Orbicella faveolata
Lineage: Eukaryota; Metazoa; Cnidaria; Anthozoa; Scleractinia; Merulinidae
Source: RefSeq, a predicted model, not a curated record